Molecule: transfer RNA, 71 nt
Filed under: Candidatus Harrisonbacteria bacterium CG10_big_fil_rev_8_21_14_0_10_44_23
Lineage: Bacteria; Candidatus Harrisoniibacteriota
Description: tRNA-Ile
Rfam family: tRNA
About the family: Transfer RNA (tRNA) molecules are approximately 80 nucleotides in length. Their secondary structure includes four short double-helical elements and three loops (D, anti-codon, and T loops).
Source: RNAcentral
CGGCCCGUAGUUUAACGGUAAAACCGGCGUCUUAUACACGCCUAUCGGAGGUCCGACUCCUCCCGGGCCGA